AGCAGCAGCGAAGACUGUUUUUUGCCCAUUCCUCAAGUUUCCUUGGGGUUCCAUGGAAUUGCCAGGGGACUUCAAAGCAAGCCCUGGUCUACUGGGACGAGGGCCAGCUUUUGGCUCUGGUCUGGCUGUGGAAAAUCCCAGAGUAGAUCUAGGAAUAUCCUGGGUUUGGGACGGGUGUUGAGAUCAUCACCAUCAUCAUCCUUCUGUGUAGACCCUGCCCUUCAGUGUUGUUCCCUUCUCACUGAGGACUCUUGGGAAGGCCUUCAUCGUGUUAAUGCUGGCCUCACCGACUUCAGACCCGGGAGGGACCCCAGCCAAGAACUUAGAAGUGUAGAAGAAAAAGCUAUUUUUCCCCCUCCCAUCAACAAAGUGAUCUGCAUGUCACUCCCCUGCCAGGAAAGAAAAAAGAAAAAAGAGAAGAGAAGAAAAAAGAAAAGCCUAACAAACACGAAAAAAAAAAAAAAAGCCAGAGCAACUGGAAUCUCAGUUUUGAGGAAACACAUGGGAUUGAAGCAUCCGCCGUAACUCUGUAACCAACUGUCACAUGUGACUCCCCCC
This 558-nucleotide long non-coding RNA is filed under the name Ursus maritimus (polar bear). RNAcentral's name for it is "lncRNA (ENSUMAG00000005416.1)". Lineage: Eukaryota; Metazoa; Chordata; Mammalia; Carnivora; Ursidae. The record is from RNAcentral.